GAAACAUUGAAACAGGAAACCUCUUUGCGGGGAAAUACAAUAAUUUCUCUGGAAUCCAAGAUGAGCUGCCUGCAGGAUCUGUUGCAACAGCCACUUUUCUGGAGCAUUUUAACAAUUUAUUUGAUUUACUUAAUGCGCAUGCAUUCACCAGACUGGCAAGAAGGGAAGCAAUCAGUGUGUAUAAUAUUAAUUAAAAGAUUUUGUUUAAUAGAGAACAGAAGGUUCUCCACUGAAUCUGCCUAGUAAAGGCUGCCAAAAAAAAAUAAAAAUAUUAAAAAAUUCAUA
Ostrinia nubilalis (European corn borer) is the source of this 285-nucleotide long non-coding RNA. RefSeq lists it as uncharacterized. The record is from RefSeq and is a predicted model, not a curated record. The transcript is spliced from 2 exons. Lineage: Eukaryota; Metazoa; Arthropoda; Insecta; Lepidoptera; Crambidae.